Symphalangus syndactylus (siamang) is the source of this 1308-nucleotide long non-coding RNA. RefSeq lists it as uncharacterized. Lineage: Eukaryota; Metazoa; Chordata; Mammalia; Primates; Hylobatidae. The record is from RefSeq and is a predicted model, not a curated record.
CAUCCUUCAGUCUCAGGCCCCCGGGAGGGGGAGGGGAAAGAACCAGGGCUGAGCUGUGGAGGGAAGAGGAGCCAUUUCUCUCCACCUACUGCAACCUCCGUGCUCACAGCUCACGUUUCACCAGAAUCCAGGGGCCUGGUCGGCUUAGGAACCCACAAUGCUGGAUAUUUUCAUCCUGAUGUUCUUUGCCAUCAUAGGCCUGGUCAUUCUGUCCUACAUUAUCUAUCUGCUCUAGUGGCCUGGAGCUGCGGCCGGAGCCUGCUGGAGAACAGCUCAGGAGGAAGGAUGGAGCUGAAUGGCCGAGUGCCCUGCUUGCUGACGCACCGGUGGAUUUUUGCUUCUGCUGUUAUCUCGGCUCCUGGUCUCUCCAGUCCAACAAGAGGCCUCUCAUCCACAGAAGCAGUCCUGCUGCCCAGCAGACCUCUUUCAGAGCCUUCCAGACAUGGCUGACCCCUGGCACGCAAGGGGCUUUUUAAGCUGAGAGGCACUUGGCUGGGACAUCAGGAAUUCAUGGACAUGGCUGGCAGAUACUGCAUAUGUUUGAGCUGUAGAUGGGAUUGAGAACAGAAAGUUGAAAUGGAGACUUAUUAAAGUUACAGUGGAGAACUGCUCAAAAAUUCAUUUUGACUGGCCGGGCGCGGUGGCUCACGCUUGUAAUCCCAGCACUUUGGGAGGCCGAGGCGGGCGGAUCACGAGGUCAGGAGAUCGAGACCACGGUGAAACCCCGUCUCUACUAAAAAUACAAAAAAUUAGCCGGGCGUGGUGGCGGGCGCCUGUAGUCCCAGCUACUCGGAGAGGCUGAGGCAGGAGAAUGGCAUGAACCCGGGAGGCGGAGUUUGCAGUGAGCCGAGAUUGUGCCACUGCACUCCAGCCUGGGUGACAGAGCAAGACUCCGUUUCAAAAAAAAAAAAAAAAAAAAAAAAUUCAUUUUGAAUUAAGGAAACUUAAAUUCAUUUUAAGUUUCCUUAGAUCUAAAUGAAACUGCACGUUACACUCAAAUAUGUUCCUUCCUUCUCACACACAGGACUCCCUUGUGAAACUCAAGGGGAAGUUCAAGUUGUCCAUCUUCGUCUAUGAAGUAGUCACUUUAUCACUGUCUUUACAGAUUGCACAAUCUGGGGUUUUGUGGUUUCUCUUGUCUCACUCUCCAGCCAGGAAGAACUUGUCAUUUGAGUUUUUAAAAUGUAUCAUUUCUUCCCCACCUCAAACCACUUGUAUCCCAGUUUCUCAUUUAAAGGGAGAAAUGGUUAUAUAGUCCUCAUCUUUGCACCUGAUUGAAUUAUAAAUGAUAGAAACAAGAUGGCUAUA